This 253-nucleotide ribosomal RNA is filed under the name uncultured bacterium. RNAcentral describes it as "partial 16S ribosomal RNA". It matches the Rfam family "Bacterial small subunit ribosomal RNA", at positions 524 to 776 of the family's 1533-position model. The record is from RNAcentral. RNAcentral also lists the same sequence under 1 other name.
UACAGAGGGUGCAAGCGUUAAUCGGAAUUACUGGGCGUAAAGCGUGCGUAGACGGUUAUUUAAGUCAGGUGUGAAAGCCCCGGGCUCAACCUGGGAAUUGCAUUUGAGACUGAAUAGCUAGGGUGCGGAAGAGGGAAGCGGAAUUUCCGGUGUAGCGGUGAAAUGCGUAGAUAUCGGAAGGAACACCAGUGGCGAAAGCGGCUUCCUGGUCCAGCACCGACGUUCAGGCACGAAAGCGUGGGGAGCAAACAGG